AGCUCCAAUAGCGUAUAUUAAAGUUGUUGUGGUUAAAAAGCUCGUAGUUGGAUCUCGGCGGAUUGAGGGCGGUUUGCUUGAUUGAGUUAUUCCGCUCUAAUGGGCGGGGUUUUGCCAGGGGUUUCGGGGCGCUCUUUACCGUGUGUUCUGCGGAUGCUGGCAGGUUUACUUUGAAAAAAUUAGAGUGCUCAAAGCAGGCUUUUACGCCUGAAUAUUCGUGCAUGGAAUAAUAGAAUAGGAAGUCGUUUCUAUUUUGUUGGUUUUCGGAAAUCGACUUAAUGAUUAAUAGGGACAGUCGGGGGCAUUUGUAUUCAAACGACAGAGGUGAAAUUCUUGGACCGUUUGAAGACAAACUACUGCGAAAGCAUUUGCCAAGAAUGUUUUCA
RNAcentral lists this ribosomal RNA (386 nucleotides) under marine copepod environmental sample. RNAcentral's name for it is "SSU rRNA". It matches the Rfam family "Eukaryotic small subunit ribosomal RNA", at positions 587 to 972 of the family's 1831-position model. The record is from RNAcentral. Lineage: Eukaryota; Metazoa; Arthropoda; Copepoda.